UUGGGACCCAAAUUGAUCUCAGAGAUGA
This 28-nucleotide non-coding RNA is filed under the name Mus musculus (house mouse). Lineage: Eukaryota; Metazoa; Chordata; Mammalia; Rodentia; Muridae. The record is from RNAcentral.